This 1346-nucleotide ribosomal RNA is filed under the name uncultured bacterium. Its description in RNAcentral is "partial 16S ribosomal RNA". It matches the Rfam family "Bacterial small subunit ribosomal RNA", at positions 28 to 1381 of the family's 1533-position model. The record is from RNAcentral.
GACGAACGCUGGCGGCGUGCUUAACACAUGCAAGUCGAACGGAAAGGCCCUGCUUUUGUGGGGUGCUCGAGUGGCGAACGGGUGAGUAACACGUGAGUAACCUGCCCUUGACUUUGGGAUAACUUCAGGAAACUGGGGCUAAUACCGGAUAGGAGCUCCUGCUGCAUGGUGGGGGUUGGAAAGUUUCGGCGGUUGGGGAUGGACUCGCGGCUUAUCAGCUUGUUGGUGGGGUAGUGGCUUACCAAGGCUUUGACGGGUAGCCGGCCUGAGAGGGUGACCGGCCACAUUGGGACUGAGAUACGGCCCAGACUCCUACGGGAGGCAGCAGUGGGGAAUAUUGCACAAUGGGCGGAAGCCUGAUGCAGCAACGCCGCGUGCGGGAUGACGGCCUUCGGGUUGUAAACCGCUUUCGCCUGUGACGAAGCGUGAGUGACGGUAAUGGGUAAAGAAGCACCGGCUAACUACGUGCUAGCAGCCGCGGUGAUACGUAGGGUGCGAGCGUUGUCCGGAUUUAUUGGGCGUAAAGGGCUCGUAGGUGGUUGAUCGCGUCGGAAGUGUAAUCUUGGGGCUUAACCCUGAGCGUGCUUUCGAUACGGGUUGACUUGAGGAAGGUAGGGGAGAAUGGAAUUCCUGGUGGAGCGGUGGAAUGCGCAGAUAUCAGGAGGAACACCAGUGGCGAAGGCGGUUCUCUGGGCCUUUCCUGACGCUGAGGAGCGAAGGCGUGGGGAGCGAACAGGCUUAGAUACCCUGGUAGUCCACGCUGUAAACGGUGGGUACUAGGUGUGGGGUCCAUUCCACGGGUUCCGUGCCGUAGCUAACGCUUUAAGUACCCCGCCUGGGGAGUACGGCCGCAAGGCUAAAACUCAAAGGAAUUGACGGGGCCCCGCACAAGCGGCGGAGCAUGCGGAUUAAUUCGAUGCAACGCGUAGAACCUUACCUGGGUUUGACAUGGAUCGGGAGUGCUCAGAGAUGGGUGUGCCUCUUUUGGGGUCGGUUCACAGGUGGUGCAUGGCUGUCGUCAGCUCGUGUCGUGAGAUGUUGGGUUAAGUCCCGCAACGAGCGCAACCCUUGUUCACUGUUGCCAGCACGUUAUGGUGGGGACUCAGUGGAGACCGCCGGGGUCAACUCGGAGGAAGGUGGGGAUGACGUCAAGUCAUCAUGCCCCUUAUGUCCAGGGCUUCACGCAUGCUACAAUGGCUGGUACAGAGAGUGGCGAGCCUGUGAGGGUGAGCGAAUCUCGGAAAGCCGGUCUCAGUUCGGAUUGGGGUCUGCAACUCGACCUCAUGAAGUCGGAGUCGCUAGUAAUCGCAGAUCAGCAACGCUGCGGUGAAUACGUUCCCGGGGCU